Molecule: ribosomal RNA, 250 nt
Filed under: uncultured bacterium
Lineage: Bacteria
Description: partial 16S ribosomal RNA
Rfam family: Bacterial small subunit ribosomal RNA
Source: RNAcentral
UACGGAGGGUGCAAGCGUUAUCCGGAAUCACUGGGUUUAAAGGGUGCGUAGGCGGCCUAAUAAGUCAGGGGUGAAAGGUGCCAGCUUAACUGGCGAAUUGCCUUUGAUACUGUUGGGCUUGAAUCGAGUUGAGGUUAGCGGAAUGUGACAUGUAGCGGUGAAAUGCAUAGAUAUGUCAUAGAACACCAAUUGCGAAGGCAGCUGGCUAGACUCGUAUUGACGCUGAGGCACGAAAGCGUGGGGAGCGAAC